Long non-coding RNA from Aethalodelphis obliquidens (Pacific white-sided dolphin), 619 nucleotides. RefSeq lists it as uncharacterized. Lineage: Eukaryota; Metazoa; Chordata; Mammalia; Artiodactyla; Delphinidae. The record is from RefSeq and is a predicted model, not a curated record. The transcript is spliced from 2 exons.
GGAUCAGACUCGUGCCCCCUGCAGUCAGAAGCACAGAGCCCUAACCACUGCAAAUUGAAAGCACCAAAGACAAGAGAGGUCCCAAAUGGGGCCUCCUCUGACAGCAUCCUCUUCUUUACUGCCCUAACGAAGACUUCCCCCUGCUCAGACUACAGAGAUUCAGUUCUUUCUUUUUUUAUUACUUAUUUUUAAUUGAGGAGGAUACUGCCUAAAGCUCACAUUUGUAGAUCAUUAUCCCACUUCUGGGGAUAAUCUCAGCUCAACCUCAAAGCCAAGAGUCAAAAUAACAAGUAUAAACAGACAUACAUACCUUGCUGGCAUCAUAGUCUUGAAGUCUUCUCCUGAAGGGCAAUCUUUCAGUUUUAAAACAACUGUUUCUCCACCUUUCGUUUUUUGCCGUUCUGUAAGAAUGCAAUUGAUUAUUAAAAGAUAAUCUCUGUCUUUUUAUUAAUGUUUAGAGGAAGGAAGAAAUGUGAAAUGAAUGAAUACCUCUAUUAUUGUACAGUAGGUAAAGAAUGCUUGCUUAUGGACUUUUCUUAUGUAUUCAUGUAGUAUUAAGAUGUUUGUUCCUUAUGAACACAGAUAUCUGUAAUAUCACCAUAAAAUUCUUUAAAAAAAG